UUUUGUUUUUAUCACAAUUAUUAUUUUAAAAAUAUCAAAGUAAUUUUAUAAUAAAUUAAAAUAAUUGGCAGUUAGUUCCACUUUCUCAAAUUAUAGAACGUUCUUCCUUACACAUUACUGUUCUUUCUCUUCUCCAUUUAGUUCACAGGCAUUCUUCUCUCGCUCCUGGCAACAAUCUUCAUAGCUUAUCGUGUACUGGAAUUUCAGAGGUUAUGCCAUUUUCAUAGACAUUUCUAAUCCUUUGCAGAACAAUCCUACUUACUCAGUUGUCAA
Molecule: long non-coding RNA, 273 nt
Organism: Vigna radiata var. radiata (mung bean)
Lineage: Eukaryota; Viridiplantae; Streptophyta; Magnoliopsida; Fabales; Fabaceae
Exons: 3
Source: RefSeq, a predicted model, not a curated record